GGGGUCCCCAAAUUCUGAAGGGCUGUGCUACACCAGAGGUCUGCAACUUACAUGAGAAUGCCACCCUGGGUCCAGAAGACUCUGGAUUUCAUCUCACCGCUAAGCCUGAAUGCAACUGCCUUACUCCUACACAUCCAGGUCCUCAUGCAACUGUGACCCACACCAAAGCUGAGACCACCGACUGCUUCACCUGCUGAGACCUCCACAGCUGUGGCCCCCUUCCAUGCCCAGAGGAUAAUCACUACUGCCUUCAGAUGGCAGGCAUCACAGGCUUUGGCGAAGGUAACCCUGUCUCCUGGAGAAACGGUUUCUGCGUGACCUCCAAGGACUGCAAAUUUGGCAACUCCAUCUAUGCCCUGACCUAUGGUGUUGGCUUUGGCUUCUGCGUCAACACCACCUGUUGCCAAGGCAACUACCAGGAGCCCACCCCUCUCGCAGCUCAUCUGGCCUCACACACCCUGAGUGAGAUAUUGUGUCCUACAUGUCCUGGGAGCUACUUGGAGCCCUGCAAUUCCUCCUUCUACAUGCAGUGUCCCAGUGGGGAAUCUGAGUGUGUCCAGCUGGACCUAACGUCUGAAGAAGGCGGCCGGAACGUGAACGUACGCGGCUGCGGCUCCCGAGACCUGUGCAGCGCCCUGGACUGGACCCACGGGCUCUCUGUGCUCCCAAGACACUGGCUGUCGAGCCACUGCAGCCCCCACCGCCGCGCCGUCCUAGAGUCCCACUGCCGCUCGGGCGCCGCGCCCGGCCUCCGCCUCUCCCUCCCGGUUCUGGUGGUAGUCCUGGCAACCGCGACGCUGUGCUAAGGAAUCCCGCCUGGACCACCCCGCCGCCCGGGAGGCCCCCUCCACCUGCUUGUUCGGCACGUCGCUAGAUGGUGCCCUGGCUCCCCUCUGCUGGGGCAAUGCGGAGACCUGGAAGCCUCUGGUGAGAAACUCAGGAAGCAGGGAUGAGCUUCCUCCCUCAGACUAGCGUUUCCCAAAGCCAGACCUUCUGCUCCAGACUCAGGGCUUACUCAAGGCUAAGUCCUCUUUCCUCACACCAGGGUCCCAAAGGCCAUGCCUCCAUCAGCCUAGGGUGUGUCUUCCCCGCUCAGACUAAGGCCACUCACCUGCUGCUGAGAUCAGGCGUCUGCUCAACUAAGUUGGGGCGGGGCGCUAUACCUCCCCCCUCAGAUUAGCACCUUCCCCAAGGCCAAACCUCCUCCCUCAGAAGAGGGCUGUUCUUCUUCCUCAAGUUACUAAGCCUCCUUCUUCAAACGAGGGGAUACCCAAUAUCCGGCUGCUCCCAGACACCAGGGAUGUGUCUCUUCUCCCACACAUUGACAAGCAACUUCUCUUUUGUUCUCCCUGUUUGGGGUCUAGCAAAAUCCUGGGCAGCCAAGGCGGGGCUUGAGGAUCCGAUACACCCUCUUCCAAGGUUUUCAGAGCAGCCUCCUCCACCCCCACCAUGGGCCAAGACGGGGCAGGGGGCAUGGGUGGGGUGAGGAGCCCCUCUUCUGUGUGGGCCCAAUCUCCCAGCUGUAACCAGAUCUGAAUGAAUC
RNAcentral lists this long non-coding RNA (1543 nucleotides) under Homo sapiens (human). Its description in RNAcentral is "novel transcript". Lineage: Eukaryota; Metazoa; Chordata; Mammalia; Primates; Hominidae. The record is from RNAcentral.